UACGUAGGGUGCGAGCGUUGUCCGGAAUUAUUGGGCGUAAAGAGCUCGUAGGCGGUGUGUCGCGUCGGCCGUGAAAACCUGUGGCUUAACUAUGGGCUUGCGGUCGAUACGGGCAUCACUGGAGUUCGGCAGGGGAGACUGGAAUUCCUGGUGUAGCGGUGAAAUGCGCAGAUAUCAGGAGGAACACCGGUGGCGAAGGCGGGUCUCUGGGCCGAUACUGACGCUGAGACGCGAAAGCGUGGGUAGCAAACAGG
RNAcentral lists this ribosomal RNA (254 nucleotides) under uncultured bacterium. Its description in RNAcentral is "partial 16S ribosomal RNA". It matches the Rfam family "Bacterial small subunit ribosomal RNA", at positions 524 to 776 of the family's 1533-position model. The record is from RNAcentral.